CCUACGGGGCGCAGCAGUGAGGAAUAUUGGUCAAUGGCCGGAAGGCUGAACCAGCCAAGCCGCGUGAAGGACGAAGGUGCCAAGCAUUGUAAACUUCUUUUGUCAAGGGACAAAAUCAGGCUCGAGAGCCUGACCGAGGGUACUUGAAGAAAAAGCAUCGGCUAACUCCGUGCCAGCAGCCGCGGUAAUACGGAGGAUGCGAGCGUUAUCCGGAUUUAUUGGGUUUAAAGGGUGCGUAGGAGGACUGUUAAGUCAACGGUAACAGCCCGGGGCGCAACCCCGGCGAGCCGUUGAAACUGGCUGUGUUGAGAUGUCGAGAGGUAUGCGGAAUGCGCAGUGUAGCGGUGAAAUGCUUAGAUAUUGCGCAGAACUCCGAUGGCGAAGGCAGCAUACCGGCGGCGAUCUGACGCUGAGGCACGAAAGCGUGGGUAUCGAACAGGAUUAGAUACCCGUGGAGUC
This 459-nucleotide ribosomal RNA is filed under the name uncultured bacterium. Its description in RNAcentral is "partial 16S ribosomal RNA". It matches the Rfam family "Bacterial small subunit ribosomal RNA", at positions 338 to 795 of the family's 1533-position model. The record is from RNAcentral.